CUCAUUUUCUUGAUUUGAUAGCUACUCUCUCUUAUUCAUAUCAUCAGUAAGAUAUUCUCACCACAUAUGAUGCAUGAGUAAGCAAGCUUUAAACAAGUAAAGGAGGAACUCAGUGAGACUGAAGAAAGUGGUAACCCAAAGAGGUUACAACCGAGGAGCUGCAAACAUAGCCUGACUUCAAGAGACCCGAGGGGAUAAACCGAAUAAGAAUCAAAGUCACCUAAGUCAGCUUAUGGUAAAAAGAAGUUGAUUCCAACCACUAGAUAC
RNAcentral lists this long non-coding RNA (267 nucleotides) under Arabidopsis thaliana (thale cress). RNAcentral's name for it is "ncRNA (AT3G54625)". Lineage: Eukaryota; Viridiplantae; Streptophyta; Magnoliopsida; Brassicales; Brassicaceae. The record is from RNAcentral.